RNAcentral lists this non-coding RNA (28 nucleotides) under Cricetulus griseus (Chinese hamster). Lineage: Eukaryota; Metazoa; Chordata; Mammalia; Rodentia; Cricetidae. The record is from RNAcentral.
AUGGGCAAGUAGCUCUGAGCUAAUCAGC